UCGAGGGGUAUAGUAGCAAUACUAGAGACCGGCGCACGGGUGCGUAACGCGUAUGCAACCUACCUUUUACAGGGGAAUAGCCCAGAGAAAUUUGGAUUAAUGCCCCAUGGUAUAUUCGAGUGGCAUCACUUGAUUAUUAAAGUUCCAACGGUAAAAGAUGGGCAUGCGUCCUAUUAGCUAGAUGGUAAGGUAACGGCUUACCAUGGCUACGAUAGGUAGGGGUCCUGAGAGGGAGAUCCCCCACACUGGUACUGAGACACGGACCAGACUCCUACGGGAGGCAGCAGUGAGGAAUAUUGGACAAUGGGCGCAAGCCUGAUCCAGCCAUGCCGCGUGCAGGAAGAAGCAUCUAUGGUGUGUAAACUGCUUUUGUACGGGAAGAAACACCCCUUCGUGAAGGGGCUUGACGGUACCGUAAGAAUAAGGAUCGGCUAACUCCGUGCCAGCAGCCGCGGUAAUACGGAGGAUCCAAGCGUUAUCCGGAAUCAUUGGGUUUAAAGGGUCCGUAGGCGGUUUGGUAAGUCAGUGGUGAAAGCCCUUCGCUCAACGGAGGAACGGCCAUUGAUACUGCCAGACUUGAAUUACUGGGAAGUAACUAGAAUAUGUAGUGUAGCGGUGAAAUGCUUAGAUAUUACAUGGAAUACCAAUUGCGAAGGCAGGUUACUACCGGUGGAUUGACGCUGAUGGA
This 688-nucleotide ribosomal RNA is filed under the name uncultured Bacteroidota bacterium. RNAcentral's name for it is "bacterial SSU rRNA". It matches the Rfam family "Bacterial small subunit ribosomal RNA", at positions 62 to 753 of the family's 1533-position model. The record is from RNAcentral. Lineage: Bacteria; Pseudomonadati; Bacteroidota.